UCACUAUGCGGCCACUGUGAUGAUUGAGCUUCCUCUCCUCAGGACCCGCAUGGGAGAGGCCACGGCUUCGAGACACCUGGGGCCGCUUCCGCGGUGAGGACUGGGAGACGCUGCUGCAUCUCCGGGACACCUGGGGCGGAGGCCAACGACCCACCCAGUAGGGGCCACGGCUUCGAGACCUGGGGACACCUGGGGCCACGUCCAUGGUAAAGACAUCUCCGGGACACCUGGGGCUGACCCUGGUACCGGGAGAGGAGGAGGAACACAGCGACGCCAUCCUGAGGUCGGGGACCAGCAGGAACCACAGUCUAAGGCCAAUGAAACAGGCGCCCCUGGAUUAGUGCUCAGUGUUUGUUUUGUUUUGUUUUCUUUUGAGGAGUUUUGCUCUUGUUCCCCAGGCUGGAGUGCGAUGUCUCGAUCUCGGCUCACUGCAACCUCUGCCUCCCGGGUUCAAGUGAUUCUCCUGCCUCAGCCUCCCAAGUAGCUGGGAUUACAGUCAUGCGCCAUCACGCCCAGCUAAUUUUGUAGUUUUAGUAGAGACAGGGUUUCUCCAGGUUGAUCAGGCUGGUCUUGAACUCCUGACCUCGGGUGAUCCGCCCACCUCAGCCUCCCAAAGUGCUGGAAUUACAGGCGUGAGCCACUGCGCCCGGCCAGUGUUCUAUAUUUUAAGGCUCUUUUGUUAACGCAGUGGAAACAACACAGGAAAUGGAAAAGAAGGCACAUUAUCAUGCUCACGCCACUGCAUUUAGUCUGGGCGACAGAGGGAGACCUUGUCUCAAAAAACAAAAACAAAUGAAAACAAAAACAAACCA
Long non-coding RNA from Nomascus leucogenys (northern white-cheeked gibbon), 812 nucleotides. RefSeq lists it as uncharacterized. The transcript has 2 exons. The record is from RefSeq and is a predicted model, not a curated record. Lineage: Eukaryota; Metazoa; Chordata; Mammalia; Primates; Hylobatidae.